RNAcentral lists this ribosomal RNA (419 nucleotides) under uncultured bacterium. Its description in RNAcentral is "bacterial SSU rRNA". It matches the Rfam family "Bacterial small subunit ribosomal RNA", at positions 358 to 774 of the family's 1533-position model. The record is from RNAcentral.
GGAAUAUUGGUCAAUGGCCGGAAGGCUGAACCAGCCAUGCCGCGUGCAGGAUGACGGCCCUAUGGGUUGUAAACUGCUUUUGUGGCGGAGCAAUAAGGAUUACGUGUAAUCCGAUGAGAGUACGUCACGAAUAAGCAUCGGCUAACUCCGUGCCAGCAGCCGCGGUAAUACGGAGGAUGCGAGCGUUAUCCGGAUUUAUUGGGUUUAAAGGGUGCGUAGGCGGGUCGCCAAGUCAGGGGUGAAAUCCCGGAGCCUAACUCCGGAACUGCCUUUGAUACUGGCGGUCUUGAAUUCGGAUGCCGUGGGAGGAAUGAGUAGUGUAGCGGUGAAAUGCAUAGAUAUUACUCAGAACACCGAUUGCGAAGGCAUCUCACGAAUCCGCGAUUGACGCUGAGGCACGAAAGCGUGGGGAUCAAACA